GCCGCGGGAGCGGCCGGAGCGGGUGCCGUUGUCGUUGGCGCAGCAGCGGAUGUGGUUCCUGAACCGGUUCGACGACCGGUCCGCGGCC
RNAcentral lists this transfer RNA (88 nucleotides) under Nocardia jinanensis. Its description in RNAcentral is "tRNA-Asp". The record is from RNAcentral. Lineage: Bacteria; Bacillati; Actinomycetota; Actinomycetes; Mycobacteriales; Nocardiaceae.